ACGCGAUGAACCUUACCUGGGCUAGAAUGCAGUCUGACCGUGGGUGAAAGCUCAUUUCGUAGCAAUACGCAGAUUGUAAGGUGCUGCAUGGCUGUCGUCAGCUCGUGCCGUGAGGUGUUGGGUUAAGUCCCGCAACGAGCGCAACCCCAUACAUUAGUUGCCAACAGGUAAAGCUGGGAACUCUAGUGAAACUGCCGUCGUAAGACGCGAGGAAGGAGGGAGUGAUGUCAAGUCAUCAUGGCCUUUAUGC
Molecule: ribosomal RNA, 250 nt
Filed under: uncultured bacterium
Lineage: Bacteria
Description: partial 16S ribosomal RNA
Rfam family: Bacterial small subunit ribosomal RNA
Source: RNAcentral